UUGCUGUGUGGGAGUUGAGGAAAAUAGCCAAAAUUCAGGCCUAAUGCGGCAGAUUGAGCAGAAGGGAUGCCCUGGCUAGCUGCAUUUUGAACCUCCAAGGCUUCGGACGCCUUUGCUCUCUGCAAAGGCAAAAACUUUCUCGAGCACACCUGCAGUGUGUCGAUGCCAUCUGCAUCGGUGUUGAAGUCGUAAAACGUGCUUGCUGCCGUAAGCUUCAUAGAGAGAAACUGAAUUUGCGGAAGAGAGAAGAAAUUAUAUCAGGUUUUGAUCUGAAUCAUUGUAUUUUUAUUUUCUGUUGUGGUAAGUGUUGAUCACUGACCUCUACUUGAUUCUGCAAGGACUGGACAUAAUUGAUGAUCUGAUCCAACAUUACUGCCAUUCCCAUGGACUGUUCGUUUUCGGUAGGAAUGUUAGAAUGAUUACAUCAAGAAUCAGAACAAUACUUUGGAAAGAACUAUAUAGUUGGAGUAGAAUAUUAAUUAAUCACCUUGUAGCAUCCUGGAACGAUGUCUUGCAAACAUCGUAAUCGCUCGUUGAUUUUUCCUCUUCUGACCUGAUUCAGGUAAGAAAGCAGAUCAUUGUAAUUUUCUGUUUUAGGAGAGUAGCCUCAGCUGAAAACAGUAGUAAAUUUGAACUUACUCUCUCUGCUAAACUAUGACUAUCAGUGGCCUGGCCUCUUUUGGCCCUGACAUGAAUCACUUCUCUUGGCAUAUCAUCUUUCUCUUCAUUGGAUUUCACUUUCUUUCCUCUUCCUGCAGCCUACGAGCAGAAGAAUUGUCUGAAAAAUCCGAGAACUGCUUUCAGGCGUGCUGAUAUCCGUUGAUUUCCUUUUCCUGUCUUGAUGAUUGUUGUCAUUGGAGAUGGUGGGCACAGGGACAGGAGGAAUUACAGUGUUGUCAUCAAGGAAGAAUAAUCCAUGGAAAUUUUCCA
Molecule: non-coding RNA, 930 nt
Organism: Sesamum indicum (sesame)
Lineage: Eukaryota; Viridiplantae; Streptophyta; Magnoliopsida; Lamiales; Pedaliaceae
Source: RefSeq, a predicted model, not a curated record